CGAGUUUGAUCCUGGCUCAGAUUGAACGCUGGCGGAAUGCUUUACACAUGCAAGUCGAGCGGCAGCGCGGGGCAACCUGGCGGCGAGCGGCGAACGGGUGAGUAAUACAUCGGAACGUGCCCAGACGUGGGGGAUAACUACUCGAAAGAGUGGCUAAUACCGCAUACGAUCUGAGGAUGAAAGCGGGGGAUCGCAAGACCUCGCGCGUCUGGAGCGGCCGAUGGCAGAUUAGGUAGUUGGUGAGGUAAAGGCUUACCAAGCCUGCGAUCUGUAGCUGGUCUGAGAGGAUGAUCAGCCACACUGGGACUGAGACACGGCCCAGACUCCUACGGGAGGCAGCAGUGGGGAAUUUUGGACAAUGGGCGAAAGCCUGAUCCAGCCAUUCCGCGUGCAGGAUGAAGGCCCUCGGGUUGUAAAGCCCUUUCGGCGGGGACGAUGAUGACGGUACCCGCAGAAGAAGCCCCGGCUAACUUCGUG
This 477-nucleotide ribosomal RNA is filed under the name uncultured bacterium. RNAcentral's name for it is "bacterial SSU rRNA". It matches the Rfam family "Bacterial small subunit ribosomal RNA", at positions 9 to 507 of the family's 1533-position model. The record is from RNAcentral.